RNAcentral lists this ribosomal RNA (464 nucleotides) under uncultured bacterium. RNAcentral's name for it is "partial 16S ribosomal RNA". It matches the Rfam family "Bacterial small subunit ribosomal RNA", at positions 339 to 795 of the family's 1533-position model. The record is from RNAcentral.
CUACGGGGGGCUGCAGUGGGGAAUAUUGCACAAUGGGCGCAAGCCUGAUGCAGCCAUGCCGCGUGUAUGAAGAAGGCCUUCGGGUUGUAAAGUACUUUCAGCGGGGAGGAAGGGAGUAAAGUUAAUACCUUUGCUCAUUGACGUUACCCGCAGAAGAAGCACCGGCUAACUCCGUGCCAGCAGCCGCGGUAAUACGGAGGGUGCAAGCGUUAAUCGGAAUUACUGGGCGUAAAGCGCACGCAGGCGGUGUGUUAAGUCAGAUGUGAAAUCCCCGGGCUCAACCUGGGAACUGCAUCUGAUACUGGGAAGCUGGAGACUGGUAGAGGGGGGUAGAAUUCCAGGUGUAGCGGUGAAAUGCGUAGAGAUCUGGAGGAAUACCGGUGGCGAAGGAGCCCCCCUGGACGAAGGCUGACGCUCAGGUGCGAAAGCGUGGGGAGCAAACAGGAUUAGAUACCCGUGUAGUC